AGUCGAGCGAGUCUGCCUUGAAAUCGGAGUGCUAGCACUCUGUGAAACAAGAUACAGGCUAGCGGCGGACGGGUGAGUAACACGUGGGUAACCUGCCCAAGAGAUCGGGAUAACACCUGGAAACAGAUGCUAAUACCGGAUAACAACAGAUGAUGCCUAUCAACUGUUUAAAAGAUGGUUCUGCUAUCACUCUUGGAUGGACCUGCGGUGCAUUAGCUAGUUGGUAGGGUAACGGCCUACCAAGGCGAUGAUGCAUAGCCGAGUUGAGAGACUGAUCGGCCACAUUGGGACUGAGACACGGCCCAAACUCCUACGGGAGGCAGCAGUAGGGAAUCUUCCACAAUGGACGCAAGUCUGAUGGAGCAACGCCGCGUGAGUGAAGAAGGGUUUCGGCUCGUAAAGCUCUGUUGUUGGUGAAGAAGGACAGGGGUAGUAACUGACCUUUGUUUGACGGUAAUCAAUUAGAAAGUCACGGCUAACUACGUGCCAGCAGCCGCGGUAAUACGUAGGUGGCAAGCGUUGUCCGGAUUUAUUGGGCGUAAAGCGAGUGCAGGCGGCUCGAUAAGUCUGAUGUGAAAGCCUUCGGCUCAACCGGAGAAUUGCAUCAGAAACUGUCGAGCUUGAGUACAGAAGAGGAGAGUGGAACUCCAUGUGUAGCGGUGAAAUGCGUANAUAUAUGGAAGAACACCGGUGGCGAA
This 698-nucleotide ribosomal RNA is filed under the name uncultured bacterium. Its description in RNAcentral is "bacterial SSU rRNA". It matches the Rfam family "Bacterial small subunit ribosomal RNA", at positions 60 to 719 of the family's 1533-position model. The record is from RNAcentral.